AUGUCAGGGCCAUACCUUGAGAGCGCACGAGAUACAGGAGUGGCAAGUUUGACAUCAAUGGUGAUGUCGACAGCCAGGGACGUCAUGGCCACAACUUGGUACUCCUCCUGGUCUACUGGUUCGACCAUUGGAGGGGUGGCCGUGCUGUCGUUGAUGUCGACCACAGGCUCAAGGAAGGUGGUAGCAGUGGCGUCAUGGACCUCGUUGACGAUGCCGAUGGUGGCAACCUGGUGCGAGCAUUCGGUCGAACAUGUGACGUGCACCAACUCCAUGCAAUCAGGGGACGCAUCAUGGACGAUCUGGAGGACCUCCGGGGCCUUGAAGGUGGAGAAGGAGACGUCGGUGGAGACUGCAGUGACACUGGUGUCGAUGGUGCGGUCGACUACAAGCUCGACCACUUGGUGGAUGGGGCUGACCGUGGGAUCGAGGUGGACGGCGGUGGCGGCGUCAUGGACCUCGUCAAUGCUAUCGACCGUGGGCUCGAGGUGGACGGCGGUGGCGGCACCAUGGACCUCGUCGAUGCUAUCGAUGGUGUCGACCUGGGUCGAGCACUCCAUCGAACAGGUGACGGGCACCAUCGCGAUGCACACCGGGGACGAAUCAUGGACGAGCUCAAGGACCUCCGGGGCCUUGGCGGUGGAGAAGGAGACACUGCUGGGGUCGAUGGUGAGGUCGGUGCUGGGCAUGACCAGGGCCGAUGGUUUUUUAGACGAGGAAGCAGCCGAGUCGAGUUGUGCGUUAGCAGCAACGAGCUCAGCAGUCAUGCCCUCAAUCCUGGAGAUGAAGGAUGCGAGAUACCAUAUCGUCUGCUCCUUGGCCGACAUGGCAUCCCACUCCGGUGGUAAGUCAGCGGGCAUGGCGUCGUCGCCGGUAGAACAGAGAGGAAUCAAGUGUGGAAGAAAAAAUUGGGGAAAAUUUGAGGGGUGGAAGGGUGGUGGCCUGGCUCUGAAUACCAGAUGUAAGGUACUAGAUAUCUCUCUCGAUUACAAGCACGAAUUACAGUAG
This 1005-nucleotide ribosomal RNA is filed under the name Triticum aestivum (bread wheat). Its description in RNAcentral is "partial small subunit ribosomal RNA". The record is from RNAcentral. Lineage: Eukaryota; Viridiplantae; Streptophyta; Magnoliopsida; Poales; Poaceae.